GACGAACGCUGGCGGCGUGCUUAACACAUGCAAGUGGAGCGACGAACCGGGGCUUGCCCCGGGGCAGAGCCGCGAACGGGUGAGUAACACGUGGGUAACCCACCCCGAUGACCGGGACAACCCGAGGAAACUCGGGCUAAUACCGGAUGUGCUCCUUGACCUCGAGGUCAAGGCGUAAAGAUAGCUUCGGCCUUCGCAUCGGGACGGGCCCGCGGCCCAUUAGCUUGUUGGUGGGGUAAAGGCCUACCAAGGCGACGAUGGGUAGCUGGUCUGAGAGGACGAUCAGCCACACUGGGACUGAGACACGGCCAGACUCCUACGGGAGGCAGCAGUGGGGAAUCUUGCGCAAUGCGCGAAAGCGUGACGCAGCAACG
This 374-nucleotide ribosomal RNA is filed under the name uncultured bacterium. RNAcentral's name for it is "bacterial SSU rRNA". It matches the Rfam family "Bacterial small subunit ribosomal RNA", at positions 28 to 396 of the family's 1533-position model. The record is from RNAcentral.